GAUGAACGCUGGCGGCGUGCCUAAUACAUGCAAGUCGAGCGAACAGAUAAGGAGCUUGCUCCUUUGACGUUAGCGGCGGACGGGUGAGUAACACGUGGGUAACCUACCUAUAAGACUGGAAUAACUCCGGGAAACCGGGGCUAAUGACGGAUAACAUUUAGAACCGCAUGGUUCUAAAGUGAAAGAUGGUUUUGCUAUCACUUAUCGAUGGACCCGCGCCGUAUUAGCUAGUUGGUAAGGUAACGGCUUACCAAGGCAACGAUACGUAGCCGACCUGAGAGGGUGAUCGGCCACACUGGAGCUGAGACACGGUCCAGACUCCUACGGGAGGCAGCAGUAGGGAAUCUUCCGCAAUGGGCGAAAGCCUGACGGAGCAACGCCGCGUGAGUGAUGAAGGCCUUCGGAUCGUAAAACUCUGUUAUUAGGGAAGAACGAAUGUGUAAGUAACUGUGCACGUCUUGACGGUACCUAAUCAGAAAGCCAGGGCUAACUACGUG
Molecule: ribosomal RNA, 497 nt
Filed under: uncultured bacterium
Lineage: Bacteria
Description: partial 16S ribosomal RNA
Rfam family: Bacterial small subunit ribosomal RNA
Source: RNAcentral